RNAcentral lists this transfer RNA (61 nucleotides) under Neoseiulus womersleyi. RNAcentral describes it as "tRNA-His". The record is from RNAcentral. Lineage: Eukaryota; Metazoa; Arthropoda; Arachnida; Mesostigmata; Phytoseiidae.
AUUCAAUUAGUUUAAUAAAAAUAACAAAUUGUGAUUUUGUAGAUAAUUUUUUUAUUGAAUA